Molecule: non-coding RNA, 132 nt
Organism: Triticum aestivum (bread wheat)
Lineage: Eukaryota; Viridiplantae; Streptophyta; Magnoliopsida; Poales; Poaceae
Source: Rfam
CAUUUACUCCCUCCGUUUCGAAUUACUUGUCUUGGAUUUGUCUAGAUACAGAUGUAUCUAGACUCAUAGUGCUAAAUACAUCCGUAUCUAGAAAAAUCUAAGACAAGUAAUUCGGAAUGGAGGGAGUAUCAA